GAGAGGGCUCAGGACAAAGAGAGCUUGCUGGCAGUAGCUGCUGCCUCAACUUGCUGAACUACUUAAAAAGGCAGUGUACUUAGAGUGGGGUCAGCAUACUUAAAGGGGCAAUGUGCAUCUCUCUCU
Molecule: long non-coding RNA, 126 nt
Organism: Gopherus evgoodei (Goodes thornscrub tortoise)
Lineage: Eukaryota; Metazoa; Chordata; Testudines; Testudinidae
Exons: 3
Source: RefSeq, a predicted model, not a curated record